AUACGUAGGAGGCGAGCGUUAUCCGGAUUUACUGGGCGUAAAGCGCGUGUAGGCGGCUUCUCAAGUUGGCAGUGAAAGGUUCCGGCUUAACUGGGAUAUGCCUGUCAAUACUGGGAGGCUUGAGGGCAUCAGAGGAAAGUGGAACUCGCGGUGGAGCGGUGAAAUGUGUAGAUAUCGCGAGGAACACCAGUGGCGAAGGCGGCUUUCUGGGGUGUUCCUGACGCUGAGGCGCGAAAGCGUGGGGAGCGAAGCGGAUUAGAUACCCGCGUAGUCCACGCCCUAAACGGUGGAUACUUGGUAUGGGGGGUAUCGACCCCCUCCGUGCCGAAGCCAACGCUUUAAGUAUCCCGCCUGGGAACUACGGUCGCAAGACUAAA
This 377-nucleotide ribosomal RNA is filed under the name uncultured bacterium. Its description in RNAcentral is "bacterial SSU rRNA". It matches the Rfam family "Bacterial small subunit ribosomal RNA", at positions 523 to 898 of the family's 1533-position model. The record is from RNAcentral.